AUUGAACGCUGGCGGCAGGCCUAACACAUGCAAGUCGAGCGGAUGAAGGGAGCUUGCUCCUGGAUUCAGCGGCGGACGGGUGAGUAAUUCCUAGGAAUCUGCCUGGUAGUGGGGGAUAACGUCCGGAAACGGGCGCUAAUACCGCAUACGUCCUGAGGGAGAAAGUGGGGGAUCUUCGGACCUCACGCUAUCAGAUGAGCCUAGGUCGGAUUAGCUAGUUGGUGGGGUAAAGGCCUACCAAGGCGACGAUCCGUAACUGGUCUGAGAGGAUGAUCAGUCACACUGGAACUGAGACACGGUCCAGACUCCUACGGGAGGCAGCAGUCGGGAAUAUUGGACAAUGGGCGAAAGCCUGAUCCAGCCAUGCCGCGUGUGUGAAGAAGGUCUUCGGAUUGUAAAGCACUUUAAGUUGGGAGGAAGGGCAGUAAGUUAAUACCUUGCUGUUUUGACGUUACCAACAGAAUAAGCACCGGCUAACUUCGUG
This 484-nucleotide ribosomal RNA is filed under the name uncultured bacterium. Its description in RNAcentral is "partial 16S ribosomal RNA". It matches the Rfam family "Bacterial small subunit ribosomal RNA", at positions 30 to 507 of the family's 1533-position model. The record is from RNAcentral.